RNAcentral lists this ribosomal RNA (206 nucleotides) under uncultured bacterium. RNAcentral's name for it is "partial 16S ribosomal RNA". It matches the Rfam family "Bacterial small subunit ribosomal RNA", at positions 1287 to 1500 of the family's 1533-position model. The record is from RNAcentral.
CUCAGUUCGGAUUGGAGUCUGCAACCCGACUCCAUGAAGCUGGAUUCGCUAGUAAUCGCGCAUCAGCCACGGCGCGGUGAAUACGUUCCCGGGCCUUGUACACACCGCCCGUCAAGCCAUGGAAGCCGGGAGUGCCUGAAGUGCGUGACCGCAAGGAGCGUCCUAAGGCAAUACCGGUGACUGGGGCUAAGUCGUAACAAGGUAUC